UUAAGCAUAUCAAUAAGCGGAGGAAAAGAAACUAACAAGGAUUCCCCUAGUAACUGCGAGUGAAGCGGGAAGAGCUCAAAUUUAAAAUCUGGCGUCUUCGGCGUCCGAGUUGUAAUUUAGAGAAGCGUUUUCCGUGUCGGACCGUGUACAAGUCUCCUGGAACGGAGCGUCAUAGAGGGUGAGAAUCCCGUCUUUGACACGGACCCCCGAUGCUUUGUGAUACGCUCUCGAAGAGUCGAGUUGUUUGGGAAUGCAGCUCAAAAUGGGUGGUGAACUCCAUCUAAAGCUAAAUAUUGGCGAGAGACCGAUAGCGAACAAGUACCGUGAGGGAAAGAUGAAAAGCACUUUGGAAAGAGAGUGAAACAGUACGUGAAAUUGUUGAAAGGGAAACGUUUGAAGUCAGUCGCGUCCGUCGGGAUUCAGCCCUCGUGGUGUACUUCCUGAUGGACGGGCCAGCAUCACUUUCGAUCAUCGGAAAAGGGCUAGAGGAAUGUGGCACCUCCGGGUGUGUUAUAGCCUCUGGUCGUAUGCGGUGACCGGGAGUGAGGAACGCCUUUGUAGGAUGCUGGCGUAAUGGCUUUAAACGACCCGUCUUGAAACACGGACCAAGGAGUCUAACAUGCCCGCGAGUGUUCGGGUGGAAAACCCGUGCGCGUAAUGAAAGUGAAAGUUGGGAAGGCUGUCGUGGCCUGCACCGACGCCCGGACUUGAGAUUUAUCGAAGGUUCUGCGGUAGAGCGUGUAUGUUGGGACCCGAAAGAUGGUGAACUAUGCCUGAAUAGGGUGAAGCCAGAGGAAACUCUGGUGGAGGCUCGUAGCGAUUCUGACGUGCAAAUCGAUCGUCAAAUUUGGGUAUA
Molecule: ribosomal RNA, 856 nt
Filed under: Peniophora parvocystidiata
Lineage: Eukaryota; Fungi; Basidiomycota; Agaricomycetes; Russulales; Peniophoraceae
Description: LSU rRNA
Rfam family: Eukaryotic large subunit ribosomal RNA
Source: RNAcentral